GCAGUCGCGGCCGAGUGGUUAAAGCGAUGGACUUAAAAUCAAUUCCGGUCUUCCUGCGCAGGUUCGAACCCUGUCGACUGCG
This 82-nucleotide transfer RNA is filed under the name Ixodes scapularis (black-legged tick). It matches the Rfam family "tRNA". Rfam says of the family: Transfer RNA (tRNA) molecules are approximately 80 nucleotides in length. Their secondary structure includes four short double-helical elements and three loops (D, anti-codon, and T loops). The record is from Rfam by way of RNAcentral. Lineage: Eukaryota; Metazoa; Arthropoda; Arachnida; Ixodida; Ixodidae.